CCUUGUUACAACUUCUCCUUCCUCCAAGCCUCGCGGUUCGUCCCUGUUCCAUCCCUCCCAGGAGCUCGCCCCAAGACCCAGUCGGUAGGAGCGACGGGUGGUGUGUACAAUGGGCAGGGACGUAUCCGGGGUAGAUUGAUGACCUACGCCUACUAUACAUUCCAGGUUCACGAGGACGUUCCAGUCCACGAUCCCAACCACGUGGGGGUUUGAUCUCAUCGAUCUUCACAACUCGACAUGGUUUCAUCCCCACAAUGUAGUACGGGUGCAGCCCGGGGUGUCUAAGGGCAUCACAUACCUGUUAUCGCCCCACCUUCCUCCAAUUCACCAUUGGCGGUCCCAUCCAGGUUAGGGUCUCGCUCGUUGUCGCAGUCAAGCAUACGGCUCAAGCCACGGGCUGUGAACGGCCAUGCACCACCACUCGUACGAUCACGAAGGUCCUCUCAACCGUCGAUCCUCCGUACGUCUGGGCCUGGUAAGGUGUUCGCGUUGGGUCAAAUUGAGCCGCACACUCCACGUCUGGUGAUACCCCUCCGUCAAUGCCGUCAAGUUCCAGCCUUGCGGCCAUACUCCCCCCAGAGCCCGUACCCUGAUCGGUUGCCCUUCUAUCCUGACGACCUGUCCAGUCUCUCCGUGGCAUCUCUUACUUCCGACAAUACUGCGGUGUCUAAUCGCCUUCUCUCAUUCGGGCUUCGUCCUGGGUCGACUGAUAUGGUCUUGGCAAGUGCCUACGCCUUUGUCUGUCUUGGUCGGAUCAUCCUAUUUCACCCGUCCCCCACCAAUACACAUGAACUUACUCACUCGCCUUCCUGUCCGUCCCGGGCUAUCUCGUACUCACUCCCUUCGUCAUUCGCUCCUCUUUCCUCCCGGCUGGACGUCUCGACUCCGGACUGUUUAACUGCGACAGCGCCGAUCGACACUUGCCUAGCUGGAACUACCGCAGCUGCUAU
RNAcentral lists this ribosomal RNA (950 nucleotides) under Giardia muris. RNAcentral's name for it is "partial small subunit ribosomal RNA". Lineage: Eukaryota; Fornicata; Diplomonadida; Hexamitidae. The record is from RNAcentral.